RNAcentral lists this ribosomal RNA (397 nucleotides) under uncultured bacterium. RNAcentral's name for it is "partial 16S ribosomal RNA". It matches the Rfam family "Bacterial small subunit ribosomal RNA", at positions 360 to 774 of the family's 1533-position model. The record is from RNAcentral.
AAUCUUUCGCAAUGGGCGAAAGCCUGACGCAGCCAUGCCUCGUUAAUUAUGAAGUACUUAGGUUUGUAAAAUUCUUUCACCGGGGACGAUAAUGACGGUACCCGGAGAAGAAGCCCCGGCUAACUUCGUGCCAGCAGCCGCGGUAAUACGAAGGGGGCUAGCGUUGUUCGGAAUUACUGGGCGUAAAGGGCGCGUAGGCGGAUCGUUAAGUCAGAGGUGAAAUCCCAGGGCUCAACCCUGGAACUGCCUUUGAUACUGGCGAUCUUGAGUAUGAGAGAGGUAAGUGGAACUCCGAGUGUAGAGGUGAAAUUCGUAGAUAUUCGGAAGAACACCAGUGGCGAAGGCGACAUACUGGCUCAUUACUGACGCUGAGGCGCGAAAGCGUGGGGAGCAAACA